AAGGAUUCCCCUAGUAGCGGCGAGCGAAGCGGGAAGAGCUCAAAUUUAUAAUCUGGCACCUUCGGUGUCCGAGUUGUAAUCUCUAGAAAUGUUUUCCGCGUUGGACCGCACACAAGUCUGUUGGAAUACAGCGGCAUAGUGGUGAGACCCCCGUAUAUGGUGCGGACGCCCAGCGCUUUGUGAUACAUUUUCGAAGAGUCGAGUUGUUUGGGAAUGCAGCUCAAAUUGGGUGGUAAAUUCCAUCUAAAGCUAAAUAUUGGCGAGAGACCGAUAGCGAACAAGUACCGUGAGGGAAAGAUGAAAAGCACUUUGGAAAGAGAGUUAACAGUACGUGAAAUUGUUGGAAGGGAAACGCUUGAAGUCAGACUUGCUUGCCGAGCAAUCGGUUUGCAGGCCAGCAUCAGUUUUCCGGGAUGGAUAAUGGUAGAGAGAAGGUAGCAGUUUCGGCUGUGUUAUAGCUCUCUGCUGGAUACAUCUUGGGGGACUGAGGAACGCAGUGUGCCUUUGGCGGGGGUUUCGACCUCUUCACACUUAGGAUGCUGGUGGAAUGGCUUUAAACGACCCGUCUUGAAACACGGACCUCCUGUGUGAGGGGUCCCCCUAAAAGU
RNAcentral lists this ribosomal RNA (608 nucleotides) under Saccharomyces cerevisiae (brewer's yeast). RNAcentral describes it as "eukaryotic LSU rRNA". It matches the Rfam family "Eukaryotic large subunit ribosomal RNA", at positions 70 to 664 of the family's 3401-position model. RNAcentral also lists the same sequence under 1 other name. Lineage: Eukaryota; Fungi; Ascomycota; Saccharomycetes; Saccharomycetales; Saccharomycetaceae. The record is from RNAcentral.